This 1341-nucleotide ribosomal RNA is filed under the name uncultured bacterium. RNAcentral's name for it is "16S ribosomal RNA". It matches the Rfam family "Bacterial small subunit ribosomal RNA", at positions 28 to 1381 of the family's 1533-position model. The record is from RNAcentral.
GACGAACGCUGGCGGCGUGCUUAACACAUGCAAGUCGAACGGUAAGGCUCCAGCUUGCUGGGGUACACGAGUGGCGAACGGGUGAGUAACACGUGGGUGACCUGCCCUGCACUUCGGGAUAAGCCUGGGAAACUGGGUCUAAUACCGGAUAGGACCGCACCGUGAGGGUGUGGUGGAAAGUUUUUUCGGUGUGGGAUGGGCCCGCGGCCUAUCAGCUUGUUGGUGGGGUAAUGGCCUACCAAGGCGGCGACGGGUAGCCGGCCUGAGAGGGUGGACGGCCACGUUGGGACUGAGACACGGCCCAGACUCCUACGGGAGGCAGCAGUGGGGAAUAUUGCACAAUGGGCGGAAGCCUGAUGCAGCGACGCCGCGUGGGGGAUGACGGCCUUCGGGUUGUAAACUCCUUUCACCAUCGACGAAGGGUUUCUGACGGUAGAUGGAGAAGAAGCACCGGCUAACUACGUGCCAGCAGCCGCGGUAAUACGUAGGGUGCGAGCGUUGUCCGGAAUUACUGGGCGUAAAGGGCUCGUAGGUGGUUUGUCGCGUCGUCUGUGAAAUUCCGGGGCUUAACUCCGGGCGUGCAGGCGAUACGGGCAUAACUUGAGUACUGUAGGGGAGACUGGAAUUCCUGGUGUAGCGGUGAAAUGCGCAGAUAUCAGGAGGAACACCGGUGGCGAAGGCGGGUCUCUGGGCAGUAACUGACGCUGAGGAGCGAAAGCAUGGGGAGCGAACAGGAUUAGAUACCCUGGUAGUCCAUGCCGUAAACGGUGGGCGCUAGGUGUGGGUUUCCUUCCACGGGAUCCGUGCCGUAGCUAACGCAUUAAGCGCCCCGCCUGGGGAGUACGGCCGCAAGGCUAAAACUCAAAGGAAUUGACGGGGGCCCGCACAAGCGGCGGAGCAUGUGGAUUAAUUCGAUGCAACGCGAAGAACCUUACCUGGGCUUGACAUAUACAGGAUCGCGCCAGAGAUGGUGUUUCCCUUGUGGCUUGUAUACAGGUGGUGCAUGGUUGUCGUCAGCUCGUGUCGUGAGAUGUUGGGUUAAGUCCCGCAACGAGCGCAACCCUUGUCUUAUGUUGCCAGCACGUUGUGGUGGGGACUCGUAAGAAACUGCCGGGGUUAACUCGGAGGAAGGUGGGGAUGACGUCAAAUCAUCAUGCCCCUUAUGUCCAGGGCUUCACACAUGCUACAAUGGUCGGUACAGUGGGUUGCCAGUCCGUGAGGGCGAGCUAAUCCCGCAAAGCCGGUCUCAGUUCGGAUCGGGGUCUGCAACUCGACCCCGUGAAGUCGGAGUCGCUAGUAAUCGCAGAUCAGCAACGCUGCGGUGAAUACGUUCCCGGGCCU